RNAcentral lists this unclassified non-coding RNA (242 nucleotides) under Hevea brasiliensis (rubber tree). Lineage: Eukaryota; Viridiplantae; Streptophyta; Magnoliopsida; Malpighiales; Euphorbiaceae. The record is from RNAcentral.
GUCAUUUCAUACAAUUUUCCACCAUAAAAAAUUAAAAUAAGACAAAGCAUAAAUUUGUGGGCCCAAAAUCUUCAACUUUCCACUCGUUCCAAAUUUUCGAUUCCAAGAUCUGUUCGUCGGUUUUGUAAUGGUUGGCUGACUUGAAAAGAGGCUUUGAGCCUUUACGGCUCCCGAAAUGCAGCGGAGGAGCAAGUGAACCACCUAAAAUAUGAGACAAUUCUGCUUCUCAAGAUGUCAAAGAG